UAGGGAAUCUUCGGCAAUGGACGAAAGUCUGACCGAGCAACGCCGCGUGAGUGAAGAAGGUUUUCGGAUCGUAAAACUCUGUUGUUAGAGAAGAACAAGGACGUUAGUAACUGAACGUCCCCUGACGGUAUCUAACCAGAAAGCCACGGCUAACUACGUGCCAGCAGCCGCGGUAAUACGUAGGUGGCAAGCGUUGUCCGGAUUUAUUGGGCGUAAAGCGAGCGCAGGCGGUUUGUUAAGUCAGAUGUGAAAUCCCCGGGCUCAACCUGGGAACUGCAUCUGAUACUGGCAAGCUUGAGUCUCGUAGAGGGGGGUAGAAUUCCAGGUGUAGCGGUGAAAUGCGUAUAGAUCUGGAGGAAUACCGGUGGCGAAGGCGGCCCCCUGGACGAAGACUGACGCUCAGGUGCGAAAGCGUGGGGAGCAAACAGG
Molecule: ribosomal RNA, 429 nt
Filed under: Chloroflexota bacterium
Lineage: Bacteria; Bacillati; Chloroflexota
Description: Chloroflexi bacterium partial 16S ribosomal RNA
Rfam family: Bacterial small subunit ribosomal RNA
Source: RNAcentral